RNAcentral lists this ribosomal RNA (253 nucleotides) under uncultured bacterium. RNAcentral's name for it is "partial 16S ribosomal RNA". It matches the Rfam family "Bacterial small subunit ribosomal RNA", at positions 524 to 776 of the family's 1533-position model. The record is from RNAcentral.
UACGUAGGGGGCGAGCGUUGUCCGGAAUCAUUGGGCGUAAAGCGCGUGUAGGCGGCCCGGUAAGUCCGCUGUGAAAGUCCAGGGCUCAACCCUGGGAUGCCGGUGGAUACUGUCGGGCUCGAGUCCGGAAGAGGCGAGUGGAAUUCCUGGUGUAGCGGUGAAAUGCGCAGAUAUUACCAGGAACACCAAUGGCGAAGGCAGCUUGCUGGGCCACUCCUGACACUGAGGUACGAAAGCGUGGGGAGCGAACAGG